This is a non-coding RNA of Ornithorhynchus anatinus (platypus), 79 nucleotides long. The record is from the annotation of a RefSeq genome assembly. NCBI's taxonomy places the organism in Eukaryota, Metazoa, Chordata, Mammalia, Monotremata, Ornithorhynchidae.
GCCCGGCUAGCUCAGUCGGUAGAGCAUGGGACUCUUAAUCUCAGGGUCGUGGGUUCGUGCCCCACGUUGGUGGGAAGCA